UUUAAGUGCAGUUGUGAGUUUCCGUAUCCAACAUUUGGCCGUCCAUCUUAUUUAAAUUUUUUUAAGAUUAAUAUUUUUAUUGUUAUUAGAUGAUAAACAUGAAUAAUACUUUAUAUGUGACUUAUUUUUUUUAAAUUUUUCAUAAAAAAUUUAAAUAAGAUUGACGGUCAAACAUUUGACACGGAAACCCACAACUGCACUUAUA
Molecule: microRNA precursor, 205 nt
Organism: Oryza sativa Japonica Group (Japanese rice)
Lineage: Eukaryota; Viridiplantae; Streptophyta; Magnoliopsida; Poales; Poaceae
Rfam family: MIR812 microRNA precursor family
Source: Rfam